CAAAUCUGUUGAGUAUGAUUAAAGAAUAGAGUGCUGUGAGAGAAGGGAGAAGUAAAUUAAAUUGAGACCUGAAAGAAGAGUAGACAUUAGCCAAACUAAGUCAUGAAGAACUUUCCAGGCAAAGUCUCUUGGGGUAGGGGGAAGCUUGGCAAGUUUCAGGAAACAAAACAAGGCAGUGUGGCUGAAAGGAUCAAGGAGAAUGGUGCC
Molecule: long non-coding RNA, 207 nt
Filed under: Homo sapiens (human)
Lineage: Eukaryota; Metazoa; Chordata; Mammalia; Primates; Hominidae
Description: LHRI_LNC1408.1
Source: RNAcentral